GGGUUGAAGAGAGGAGAGGAGGGAGGGGAGGAGGGGAGUUGGGGUAGAAGGGAGGACAGGAUGGAGGGGAGGAGGGAGCCUGCUUACAGUGCACCUGCAGGAGCCUCUACCCCAGAUCCUGCUCCUGAGGGCAGACUGCUACUGGAGUCUUCAACCCGAAGCUGAGGCACAGACAAGGGUGGCUGUUUGCUGGGGAUGUACAGGACGAAGCCAAGGGUGGAGAGGGAAGAUGAUGGCUGCAGGCUAAGGGCUGUAGACUGGUGCUGCCCCCUAUCCCCAAGAUGACUUUCUGGCCCAGAAUUCAGAAGACCCUGAAGAUUGGAACUAGAACCUGGCUUUCCAGGUCUUUCUGAAGGUCUGCUUGCCAAGGAGCUGUGAUCACAAAAUGUCAGUCUUCUAUUGUGAGAGAUGGUUCUGCCUGGUGGCUCUUUGGUCCUCUGUUCCCUGAGCACUGUUGGGUGCCCCAGCUCCUCCCACCCUCUCUGCUUCAAUCAAGACACUUACGUUGUAGAAAGCAUAGCUGACUGCAACAGCUGCAAUUUUUAUCAUCUCCCUGCAAGCCAAAUAUUAAAGUAUUUUAGUGGAACUUUGAAGUUCAGCGGGGUGGUACCUUCAUUGAUUGCCUGUCUUAUAUUUGAAUGCCAGUCAGUUUCUUGCGACAUGACUCUUUCAUUGUAACGUAAAAAACAAAAGCAAAAAACAAACUGCCUCACUAAUACAUUUGAGUUUUAAAACCCACUGUGGGUAAGAGGUUGAUGAAAAGGGAGCUUGCAAAUGCUGCUGAUGGGAGUGUGAACAGCGAUGGCCUUUCUGGAAGGCAACUUGACACUAUGAAUCAAAAGUUUAAAAACAUGCACACUUGUGCUUGAGUCAGUGUUUCCUAUUAGACAACUGAAUUCCAAGAAAUAAUCAUAUUUAGAUAUGAGGCCAUAUUUAGAUAUGAGGCUGUUCAGCAGAGCAUGUUUGUAAUUAAAAAAUGUGGGACACAAACAAAUUUCCAAGAAGAGGAGAUUCAAUAAAUAAGUGGUGAUACAUCUACAUAAGGGAAUACUCUUCACUUAUUAGAAAUUGUGCUAUAGAACAUUUAAUUACAUGAGAAGGUGUUCAUGAUUCUCUAUUACAUGCAAGAAUCGGGUUUCAAAACAGUAUAUGUAAGACAACUCCAUAAAACCUGUGUGAAUAGUUACGUGUGUGUGUGUAUACAUGUUAAACAAAAUAGAAUAGAAACCCACAUAUUAAUAGUGUUUAUUUCUGCACAGUGGAACAAUAUAUGAUGUUUAUUUUCUUUUUUUGUACCUCU
RNAcentral lists this long non-coding RNA (1300 nucleotides) under Homo sapiens (human). RNAcentral describes it as "HSALNT0250991". The record is from RNAcentral. Lineage: Eukaryota; Metazoa; Chordata; Mammalia; Primates; Hominidae.